CAACACAUCCACACAAGCUCCCAACUUGAGAGUGUCGAUGGGACACGUGUUCUUUGGUGGUGAUGGGGUUGGCACUGGUGUUGGUGGUGGUGGAGGAGGACAUGGUGUCUCAGUGGGUGGAGGAGGCUUAACUGGUACAACUGGGGUAGGUGUAGGUGUUGGUGGGCUUGGUGGUACAACAGGUGGUGAUGGUGGUGGCUUAACUGGUACAACUGGGGUAGGUGUUGGUGUUGGUGGGCUUGGUGGUACAACAGGUGGUGAUGGUGGUGGCUUAACUGGUACAACUGGGGGCUUGGGUACAUAGGGUGGUGGGGGUUGUACAACUGGGGGCUUGGGUACAUAUGGUGGUGGUGGUUGUACAACUGGGGGUUUGGGGAUGAAGGGUGGGUGCACAAUUGGGGGUUUAGGGAUAAAAGGUGGGUGCACGAUUGGGGGCUUGGGGAUGAAGGGUGGGUGCACAAUUGGGGGCUUGGGGAUGAAGGGUGGGUGCACAAUUGGGGGUUUAGGGAUGAAGGGUGGGUGCACAAUUGGGGGUUUAGGGAUGAAGGGUGGGUGCACAAUUGGGGGUUUAGGGAUGAAGGGUGGGUGCACAAUUGGGGGCUUGGGGAUGAAGGGUGGGUGCACAAUUGGGGGCUUGGGGUGGGGUGGUGGUUUGACAAUAGGAGGCUUGGGGAUGAAGGGAGGUCUCACAAUAGGUGGUUUGGGGACAGAAGGAGGUUUUGGUAUAUGGGGAGGAUAUACAAUGGGGGGUUUGGGGCCAUGAGGUGGCUUGGGUACAUGGGGUGGAUGAGGAUGAGGUGGCUUUGAUGGUGGCUUGGGAACAUAGGGAGGCUUUACAUGAGGGGGAUGGGGUGGUUUUGAUGGUGGUUUGGGAACAUAGGGAGGCUUUACAUGAGGAGGAAGAGGUGGUUUUGAUGGUGGUUUGGGAACAGAGGGAGGCUUUACAUGAGGGGGAUGAGGUGGGUGUUUAGGUGGUUUAGGGAUGAAGGGUGGCUUUACAUGAGGAGGCUGUUUGGGUGGCAAGUGUGGAGGGUAUGUUGGUGGUGGACAGUAGGAGUUAGCAAGAGAAGUGAGCAAACUACCCAAAUUCACAAUGAGGACUAAGAGCAAAGCCAGG
This 1117-nucleotide long non-coding RNA is filed under the name Prunus persica (peach). RNAcentral describes it as "long non-coding RNA (PPER_LNC003776)". The record is from RNAcentral. Lineage: Eukaryota; Viridiplantae; Streptophyta; Magnoliopsida; Rosales; Rosaceae.